Molecule: long non-coding RNA, 2425 nt
Organism: Panicum virgatum (switchgrass)
Lineage: Eukaryota; Viridiplantae; Streptophyta; Magnoliopsida; Poales; Poaceae
Exons: 8
Source: RefSeq, a predicted model, not a curated record
AUGCAUCAGCACCGGCAUCGACACACACCCACACCAGCAUCCGCACCUCCACUCCUCCCCACCGGGAGCGCCAGCUCUCGCACCGCCGUAGUAGUAGUAGCAACCCACCUCCUUGUAAAUUAGGGAAUAAAAAGGAAGGACGCCAGACUUCCUGCGCUUGUAAGGAUGAUGAAAGCGUGCAGCGUCUGAACGGAUCACGGACGCCGGACGGCAAUAACGAGGAACUCGCAGCGGCGAUAGCGUUUCUUCGUCCCUGUUGCUGCAGCCGGCCAGGGGAACGCCUCGUGCGUAACAGAUUAGAAUGUGAGGUGAGGAGUCUCAAUUUUCUAAUGGGCCUGACGUUUCACAUUGGCUAGGAGUCUAAGUAAUCAUGGCAGCAUUAAUCUGGGCGGCCCUUUAAUUUGAGCGGCCCGGCGGGGUCGCGCGAUUUGCGCCGCGUGAUGUCGGGCCUGGGGCAGCAAAGGUAAGGGUAAAGGGAAGGGUGGCCCCAAGAAGGGUAGAAAGAAGAGGCGAACGCAGCAGGAGAAGGAGGAGCAGCACCAGGAGGACGAGCAGGUGGCGGAGGAGGAGCAGCACCAGGAGGACGAGCAGGUGGAGGACGAGGAGGUGCAGGAGGAGGAGUAUGUGCCGCAGCAGGAGGAGUCUAGUGGGAGGGAGGAGGAGGACGACGAGGACACGACAUGGGGUGACCCUACUGCAUACGUUUGACAGCGAGGUCCCACGCAACUCCCGGACAGGCCGAUACCUGUUGCCCUACGCUCGGUGAUUAAACCCGUGAAGCCACUGAGUUGGAAAAUCGUCGUUCCUGCUGGUCACAACCGCCUGGUCAACGACAUCCUGGGUGGGUUGUGCUGGCUGCACUUCCCAGGCAUGGUCCGGCUGAGUGAGGACAGGUGCUAGCCGGCUUGGAUGUGGGCACACUACCACAAAGCCCCGACACUCAUGAUAGGGACGACAGGUGCUUCCAGAGCAAGGCGGCAUGAGUGAAGGCUGAGCUAUGGGAUUUCUAAAGGUUGGCGGAUGAAUAUGAUGACCAGGCGGACGAGGUGCAGGAGACGGUAUGCAAGAAGCUGGUGAGGGACAUGCAUUAUGAGGCGCAAAUUCAAUGCGUCUUAAACUACAGCGCUUUGAAGAUGGGGCAGAAGAUGAAAAAACAGGAAGCAUGAACCUUGAAGCUGACCGGGGCGCAAUACUUGGAGGUGCCUGCGUGCUAGUGCCGCAAUGAUGCUGUGUGCUGGGCACACAUAGUGGACAGGUGGUUCACACCGGAGUAGCAGGAGAAGCACGACGCUGGACGACAGAAGAGUUUGCUAAUGCCAUUUCCAACACAUCAUCAAGGUAGCCUUACCAACGAGCAAUACAGGGCUUGAUGGGUAUGAAGAUUCAUUUCUUUGUUGUAACGCUCAAUUCUACAUAAUUUGUAAUUAACUUGAUAUUUUUUUCGCAAUUCGACGUACAUGGAGGCGCUCCGUGCAACAAGUUCAUGGGAUGGGCCUUGUCCCAUAAGGGCAAAGCGUCCGCGUCUGAGACCACCUACAACCCUGAUGACCCACCCGAGGCGUACAGCAAUCCCUCCUCCAUCCACAGCCGCCUCAGUGUGUACACGGAGACGGGAAGACAGGUCCAUGGACCAGAGUGGGAUCCGACCCGUGCGCCGCUUGAUGGAGAGGUGAUCGUGAGGGUGUGACAAGGAAAGAAGCAUGGUCGGUACUAUAUUUGCGACAGCAUGUUAGACACGACCAGCACUCCCACUCUCGCGGCCGUCCGAGCACAGGACACGAGUAGUAGCCCGCCCAUACUCACACGGCCAUCCGCGUCAGCGUUCCACAUGGAGCGACUUCUGGCCCGACUGGACGAGCAAGAAAGGGCACACCAGGCGGCCUUAGCCGAGGUUGCAUUGAGCAGCGAAUGGCCCAGCGGAUGGCCCAACAGGUGGCCCUUCAGCAGCAGCAGUGGGCUAGCAGCUUUACACUAUGAUGCAAGCUGUUCAGAGCGGUCAACCGCUACCUCCGAUGCCCCAGAUGAUGCCCACAAUGAUGUUGACUACGCCUCUGGCUCCGUCUCCUGCAACUCCUGUUAAUCAAUCGGCGAUAUCGAAUAACCCCGAAAUGUCGCCGGGCAUGUCACCGAGGUUCCCCCCACAACAGCUAUUCCCACCUCUGCCGGGCAGCGGCGCACCCCAGAUCAAUGGCGCACCCCAGAUCAAUGGCCCAACCCCGUUCGAGCCACCUCCUUCUCAGUGAGCUACUUUAUUUAAUUUGUGUUUCCGAACUAUUUGGACUUCUGGAUGGACUUGGAUAAUGAUUGUGGAUGAACUGUAGACUUGUAUAUGAACUUUGUGGACUUGUGGAUGUACUAGUGGACUCUUGUUGUCGAAUUAGUGGAUUUAUCUAUAUUAAGUGCCUGUGAUAGUUAUUGUGAUAUA